UGGGGAAUAUUGGACAAUGGGCGAAAGCCUGAUCCAGCAAUGCCGCGUGAGUGAUGAAGGCCUUAGGGUUGUAAAGCUCUUUUACCCGGGAUGAUAAUGACAGUACCGGGCGAAUAAGCCCCGGCUAACUCCGUGCCAGCAGCCGCGGUAAUACGGCGGGGGCUAGCGUUGUUCGGAAUUAUUGGGCGUAAAGCGCACGUAGGCGGCUUUUCAAGUCCCAUGUGAAAGCCCACGGCUUAACCGUGGAAGUGCAUGGGAAACUGGAGAGCUUGAGUACUUAAGAGGAUCGCGGAAUUCCCGGUGUAGAGGUGAAAUUCGUAGAUAUCGGGAGGAACACCAGUGGCGAAGGCGGCGAUCUGGGAAGAUACUGACGCUGAGGUGCGAAAGCGUGGGGAGCAAAC
RNAcentral lists this ribosomal RNA (401 nucleotides) under uncultured bacterium. RNAcentral's name for it is "bacterial SSU rRNA". It matches the Rfam family "Bacterial small subunit ribosomal RNA", at positions 355 to 773 of the family's 1533-position model. The record is from RNAcentral.